UACGUAGGGUGCGAGCUUUAAUCGGAAUUACUGGGCGUAAAGCGUGCGCAGGCUGUUUUGUAAGUCAGAUUUGAAAUCCCCGAGCUCAACUUGGGAACUGCGUUUGAAACUACAAGACUAGAAUAUGUCAGAGGGGGGUAGAAUUCCACGUGUAGCAGUGAAAUGCGUAGAGAUGUGGAGGAAUAUCAAUGGCGAAGGCAGCCCCCUGGGAUAAUAUUGACGCUCAUGCACGAAAGCGUGGGGAGCAAACAGG
This 253-nucleotide ribosomal RNA is filed under the name uncultured bacterium. RNAcentral describes it as "partial 16S ribosomal RNA". It matches the Rfam family "Bacterial small subunit ribosomal RNA", at positions 524 to 776 of the family's 1533-position model. The record is from RNAcentral.